AUUCUAUAAAUACAAACAGUAAUGCAUUUCCACUUCUGCUCACACAUGUUCCAAUGUUCAUGCUAAAACUCAUUCUAAACAAUGUCGUAACAUGGAAGAAGAUCAGUGAACAAAUGAACACCACAUUGAAACGCCUAACACGUAUGAACCCGGGGUUGGGGUAGCAGGCAUUUCAUCAAACACAUGGUGGGCAAUUCUGAAUUCGAUGGAAAACCAGAACCCAAGUUCAGAUACUUAAAACACCCAAAACCAAAGCUCUAACUCACAUAAUUAACAACCCAAUGAAACAAGUGCCUCUAAAACCCUAAACUUGAGAUCAUGAAUUUGAACAACUGGGACUAAAAAUGAUUACUUGAAUCCCAAAAAUCAAAUCCCAAUAACUGGGUUGAUCGGAAUCGUCAUAUAAGAAUAGUAUUCAUAGAGAGGAGAGAUGAUCCAUUACUUGGGAUACAGUUUCUUCGGGUUUCUCCUGAGCUUCCAUUGGCACUGGAGACGAACCAGUCAGAAACGACGUCCUUGAUAAUGUCGUACUUGUUUCAAAGGAAAGUUGUGCUCUUAACUUAUAAUGUCUAAAAACUCGUAAU
RNAcentral lists this long non-coding RNA (584 nucleotides) under Fragaria vesca (wild strawberry). Its description in RNAcentral is "long non-coding RNA (FVES_LNC002196)". The record is from RNAcentral. Lineage: Eukaryota; Viridiplantae; Streptophyta; Magnoliopsida; Rosales; Rosaceae.